Molecule: long non-coding RNA, 229 nt
Filed under: Capsicum annuum
Lineage: Eukaryota; Viridiplantae; Streptophyta; Magnoliopsida; Solanales; Solanaceae
Description: long non-coding RNA (CANN_LNC011465)
Source: RNAcentral
ACAGUACACUUGUCGGAAUAUCAAAUUUGUCACCUUGAAUAAUUGGGAUGACUUUCUUCGAUCGAAUCUAUAAUCUCAUCAUAUUAAUUUGGUGUUCAUUUCUUUGUUUAGGCUAAAACAUAAUUACUUUAAACUAGCCAACUCUAAAAAUUUUAAUAUUGACUCUCAAUUUGUCAAUUUAUACUAGAUUUUCUUCAACCGAUAAGAACAUACUUAUUGUUGAUUUUUC